GACGAACGUUGGCGGCGUGCUUAAUACAUGCAAGUCAACUGAAGCAGUGGUAGCAAUAUCGCUGUGGAGGUGGCGCACGGGUGAGUAACACGUAGGUAAUCUGCCUUCAGGUCUGGCAUAACUCCGGGAAACCGGGGCUAAUAGCAGAUGAUGCAGCGGCUCGACAUCGAGACAGUUGUUAAAGCUAUGGCGCCUGAAGAUGAGCCUGCGUCUGAUUAGCUAGUUGGCGGGGUAACGGCCCACCAAGGCAACGAUCAGUAGCUGGUCCGAGAGGAUGAUCAGCCACACUGGAACUGAGACACGGUCCAGACUCCUACGGGAGGCAGCAGUAAGGAAUAUUGCUCAAUGGGAGAAAUCCUGAAGCAGCAACGCCGCGUGAGGGACGAAGGGCUUUUGCUUGUAAACCUCUGUAGUGAGAGAAAAAAAUCCCAAUCUUUGGGACAUGAUGGUAGCUCAAAAGUAAGCCCCGGCUAACUACGUG
RNAcentral lists this ribosomal RNA (481 nucleotides) under uncultured bacterium. RNAcentral's name for it is "partial 16S ribosomal RNA". It matches the Rfam family "Bacterial small subunit ribosomal RNA", at positions 28 to 507 of the family's 1533-position model. The record is from RNAcentral.